AAAAGAUAUUUUGAAAAUUUUACUUUGCCAUGGUAUUUUGACCCCCCUGCAGUAUAUUGAACCCCCUACUCUAGGCCUUUAAUUUCCAAAAAUCUGGCAAUUCUAACUCUUUUAUGUAGUUAGAAUUCACCAAUAAGUAGUUUGUAUGUAUUUAACUUGCUGGAAAAGAUAUUUUUAAAAUUUUACUUUGCCAUGGUAUUUUGACCCCCUCCCCCUUUUUUACCAUGGAAAAUCAAAACUACCCUUAUAUAUAUAUAUAUAUAUAUAUAUAUAUAUAUAUAUAUAUAUACAUAUGUUAUAAUUACAAAUAAUUAAAGCAUUCAAGCUACAUAUGGUCUAGUUAUAAUGUGUCAAUAAGUAUUUUGAAUGACAUUUUGUUGGUAAAGAC
RNAcentral lists this long non-coding RNA (388 nucleotides) under Mytilus galloprovincialis (Mediterranean mussel). The record is from RNAcentral. Lineage: Eukaryota; Metazoa; Mollusca; Bivalvia; Mytilida; Mytilidae.